This is a long non-coding RNA of Nematolebias whitei (Rio pearlfish), 1245 nucleotides long. RefSeq lists it as uncharacterized. Lineage: Eukaryota; Metazoa; Chordata; Actinopteri; Cyprinodontiformes; Rivulidae. The transcript has 3 exons. The record is from RefSeq and is a predicted model, not a curated record.
CGUAACGUCUCCUCCCCGCGACCGCUACAUUCUGCGCCGAAACCCAGUCUCCCCCGGUCCGGAUUUUAACUUCUUCCCACAGACCUAGGUGUACCUCGUUGGGUACCGAGAGACGGUUUGGACCACUGGGAUCACGGAUUGAGGACGAUUUUACGCGGAUGACGACUCCUUCAACGAGAAUUUAGUAAAAGAAAAUCAGUCGAAAAUUUCAGAAUAUGUGGAAGGGAUCCUAAUUCAGCAUCCUGGAAGUAGAAAGCACAGAAGACCUGUGUCUCUCGUCACAGACAGGUGCAGUGUGUAGUCGGAGCAGCACAGAGGAAGGAAGGUCUGGGGAGGAGGCGGAGCGGCAGCGUGCCUCUCCGGCUGUGGAUGUGCUGGGUGGCAACCCCCAGGCUGCACAGAAUGUGGCUGGGGAAUCACCUCGGCUCGCCCCGCAGCCGGUCACAGCUGCCCCCUGCCCAGUCCCUCCAAUCACAAACUCGUCCACCGUGCCAUUGCCGGACAGCAGCAACUCUGCGCUCCCCAGCAUGGAGAACAAACUCCCUGCGACUCUGCCGAGAGGCGACUUCGAGAACGUCAUUUCACAAGAGGUUUCUGCUGAGGAGAGCAUGGCUGGAGUUGCAGGAUCUUUGCCAGCAUCCCCCACAGAGGACUGCAGCUCCUCUGCUAAAGUGCAAAGACUUCCAGCUCGUCCUUUUCUCACGUCACAGAUUGACGGCACAGUCCAAGAGCUUCACUACGUGUCUCAAACUGUUAAAGAAAAAAGCAACUCAAAUAGUCAGGUUAAGCAGAUUCAGCCACCUCGACAAAGUGCUGAACCUGUUUGUAUUACAAAGGAGACACAAUCCAUCACAUUGGAAUAUAAAACAGAGACUGGAACAAAUGUGGAACUUUGUGGAAAAGGUCCACAUGUCCACGCAAGCCAGUGCAGCCAUAAACCUCCAUCAUGCACUGCAGAGUCAGCAAGUCACCAACAGGACUCAAAGUCUGCACUCCCUCCUUUUCCAACUGAUAAUACGGAGAAUAAACAAACUGACCGGUCAAAACCUAAAACUGUCAGAGAAAUCUUACACAAAGCCACGGAAAUGCACAAGGCAAACUCUUUGGAAUCAGUCAAAACCUUUAAGUAUGUCGAAACGCCUCAUUCUGCUAAAAUACUUGAGGCCUCAAAGGCUAGAGAAUUGUCUCACGGAUCAUGCUCUUUUAGAAAAGAAACCUCAGUGUCCACAAGCAGUCCCCUUGAAG